AUGGCGCUGUCGUCAUCCCGGCGUUCCUCCAUUCUCCAUCGCGCCCCGCUUCUCCUUACUAAGGCUGCUGCCGGCGCCCCAAGCGCAACCGCGCCCUGCUGCCGCUGCUCUUCUCGCGUGCCGCCUGACCUGCGCUGUUGCAGCACCUUCAACACCUCACCCCCCGUCGCUAUCAACCUCUCCACCUGCAUCCUGCAAGCUCUCGCCGCUACCCCAAGCGCCCCUGUCCUCGAGCACCUAUUGGCUUCGGAUCCUGUCAAGCGCUCUAACCCGUCACUGCCAUGUCCUUGCAUCCAUCUGGUGAUGUUGUUUUCACGAAGCCACUGUACCAUGGCCACAAACGAGACCCGUCGGUCAUCACCAAGACCCGCUGCGUUGACUAGAUCGGUGCCGUUCCAGGCCAAUGCACUAUGCUACUACGCUGAGAGAACCAGGAUAUGCCAAGACUCGGACCGACAAGUACCGUGGCACCGAAGACAUUUGAUGCGUCAAGUCCUUUUUCGAAAGUGUACAACUACCGUCGUCGACGACUCGAGUACCACUACCGUCGACCCUCGAAGACCCCGUGGACGUCAAGUUCCAUGUCGUGACCCCGAACAUCUACGAAAAUGUUGUACGACUACUUCCGUGGUCGAAGACCCGUGUACAACUACCGUCGCCGUGUACGACUACUUCUGCUACGAACGUCCCAAGAACAUCUACUUCCUCUACUUUGCACCGAACGAGAAUCGUCCCGUUUUCUUGCUUCGAAGGUGCCAUUGA
RNAcentral lists this ribosomal RNA (762 nucleotides) under Triticum aestivum (bread wheat). Its description in RNAcentral is "partial small subunit ribosomal RNA". Lineage: Eukaryota; Viridiplantae; Streptophyta; Magnoliopsida; Poales; Poaceae. The record is from RNAcentral.